GUGUCAGCCGCCGCGGUAAGACAGAGGGUGCAAACGUUGUUCGGAAUUACUGGGCGUAAAGCGCGUGUAGGCGGCAGGGCAAGUCGGAUGUGAAAACCCACGGCUCAACCGUGGAAGUGCACCCGAUACUGCUCCGCUAGAGUCUCGGAGAGGAAGGUGGAAUGCUUGGUGUAGAGGUGAAAUUCGUAGAUAUCAAGCAGAACACCGGUGGCGAAGGCGGCCUUCUGGACGAUGACUGACGCUGAGACGCGAAAGCGUGGGGAGCAAACAGGAUUAGAUACCCCGGUAGUCC
RNAcentral lists this ribosomal RNA (292 nucleotides) under uncultured bacterium. Its description in RNAcentral is "partial 16S ribosomal RNA". It matches the Rfam family "Bacterial small subunit ribosomal RNA", at positions 505 to 796 of the family's 1533-position model. The record is from RNAcentral.